UAGUCCACACCGUAAACGAUGAAUGCCAGUCGUCGGCAGGCAUGCCCGUCGGUGACACACUUACCGGAGUAAGCAUUCCGCCUGGGGAGUACGGCCGCAAGGUUAAAACUCAAAGGAAUCGACGGGGGCCCGCACAAGCGGUGGAGCAUCUGGUCAAUUCGAAGCAACGCGCAGAACCGUACCAACCCUUGACAUCCUGAUCGCGGUUUCUCGAGAGAGAUUCCUUCAGUUCGGCUGGAUCAGUGACAGGUGCUGCAUGGCCGUCGUCAGCUCGUGUCGUGAGAUGUUCGGUUAAGUCCGGCAACGAGCGCAACCCACACGCCUAGUUACCAGCGGUUCGGCCGGGGACUCUAGGGGAACUGCCCGUGAUAAGCGGGAGGAAGGUGUGGAUGACGUCAAGUCCUCAUGGCCCUUACGGGUUGGGCUACACACGUGCUACAAUGGCAGUGACAAUGGGUUAAUCCCCAAAAACUGCCUCAGUUCGGAUUGUCGUCUGCAACUCGACGGCAUGAAGUCGGAAUCGCUAGUAAUCGCGUAACAGCACGACGCGGUGAUACGUUCCCGGGCCUUGUACACACCGCCCGUCACACCAUGGGAGUUGGUUCUACCUGACGACGGUGCGCUAACCUUCGGGAGGCAGCCGGCCACGGUAGGAUCA
This 658-nucleotide ribosomal RNA is filed under the name uncultured organism. Its description in RNAcentral is "bacterial SSU rRNA". It matches the Rfam family "Bacterial small subunit ribosomal RNA", at positions 791 to 1470 of the family's 1533-position model. The record is from RNAcentral.